This 1372-nucleotide ribosomal RNA is filed under the name uncultured bacterium. RNAcentral describes it as "bacterial SSU rRNA". It matches the Rfam family "Bacterial small subunit ribosomal RNA", at positions 28 to 1381 of the family's 1533-position model. The record is from RNAcentral.
GAUAAACGCUGGCGGCGUGCCUAAUACAUGCAAGUCGAGCGAACGGACGAGAAGCUUGCUUCUCUGAUGUUAGCGGCGGACGGGUGAGUAACACGUGGAUAACCUACCUAUAAGACUGGGAUAACUUCGGGAAACCGGAGCUAAUACCGGAUAAUAUUUUGAACCGCAUGGUUCAAAAGUGAAAGACGGUCUUGCUGUCACUUAUAGAUGGAUCCGCGCUGCAUUAGCUAGUUGGUAAGGUAACGGCUUACCAAGGCAACGAUGCAUAGCCGACCUGAGAGGGUGAUCGGCCACACUGGAACUGAGACACGGUCCAGACUCCUACGGGAGGCAGCAGUAGGGAAUCUUCCGCAAUGGGCGAAAGCCUGACGGAGCAACGCCGCGUGAGCGAUGAAGGUCUUCGGAUCGUAAAACUCUGUUAUUAGGGAAGAACAUAUGUGUAAGUAACUGUGCACAUCUUGACGGUACCUAAUCAGAAAGCCACGGCUAACUACGUGCCAGCAGCCGCGGUAAUACGUAGGUGGCAAGCGUUAUCCGGAAUUAUUGGGCGUAAAGCGCGCGUAGGCGGUUUUUUAAGUCUGAUGUGAAAGCCCACGGCUCAACCGUGGAGGGUCAUUGGAAACUGGAAAACUUGAGUGCAGAAGAGGAAAGUGGAAUUCCAUGUGUAGCGGUGAAAUGCGCAGAGAUAUGGAGGAACACAAGUGGCGAAGGCGACUUUCUGGUCUGUAACUGACGCUGAUGUGCGAAAGCGUGGGGAUCAAACAGGAUUAGAUACCCUGGUAGUCCACGCCGUAAACGAUGAGUGCUAAGUGUUAGGGGGUUUCCGCCCCUUAGUGCUGCAGCUAACGCAUUAAGCACUCCGCCUGGGGAGUACGACCGCAAGGUUGAAACUCAAAGGAAUUGACGGGGACCCGCACAAGCGGUGGAGCAUGUGGUUUAAUUCGAAGCAACGCGAAGAACCUUACCAAAUCUUGACAUCCUUUGACAACUCUAGAGAUAGAGCCUUCCCCUUCGGGGGACAAAGUGACAGGUGGUGCAUGGUUGUCGUCAGCUCGUGUCGUGAGAUGUUGGGUUAAGUCCCGCAACGAGCGCAACCCUUAAGCUUAGUUGCCAUCAUUAAGUUGGGCACUCUAAGUUGACUGCCGGUGACAAACCGGAGGAAGGUGGGGAUGACGUCAAAUCAUCAUGCCCCUUAUGAUUUGGGCUACACACGUGCUACAAUGGACAAUACAAAGGGCAGCGAAACCGCGAGGUCAAGCAAAUCCCAUAAAGUUGUUCUCAGUUCGGAUUGUAGUCUGCAACUCGACUACAUGAAGCUGGAAUCGCUAGUAAUCGUAGAUCAGCAUGCUACGGUGAAUACGUUCCCGGGUCU